UGAGGAAUAUUGGUCAAUGGGCGGAAGCCUGAACCAGCCAAGUAGCGUGCAGGAUGACGGCCCUAUGGGUUGUAAACUGCUUUUGAAGGGGAGUAAAGUGAGUGACGUGUCAUUCAUUGCAAGUACCGCAAGAAUAAGGACCGGCUAAUUCCGUGCCAGCAGCCGCGGUAAUACGUAGGGAGCAAGCGUUGUCCGGAUUUACUGGGUGUAAAGGGUGCGUAGGCGGCUCUGCAAGUCAGGUGUGAAAACUAUGGGCUUAACCCAUAGACUGCAUUUGAAACUGUGGGGCUUGAGUGAAGUAGAGGCAGGCGGAAUUCCCGGUGUAGCGGUGAAAUGCGUAGAGAUCGGGAGGAACACCAGUGGCGAAGGCGGCCUGCUGGGCUUUAACUGACGCUGAGGCACGAAAGCAUGGGUAGCAAACAGGAUUAGAUACCCUGGUAGUCCAUGCCGUAAACGAUGAUUACUAGGUGUGGGCGAAUGUUUCGUCCGCGCCGCAGCCAACGCAUUAAGUGUCCCGCCUGGGGAGUACGGCCGCAAGGCUA
RNAcentral lists this ribosomal RNA (542 nucleotides) under uncultured bacterium. Its description in RNAcentral is "bacterial SSU rRNA". It matches the Rfam family "Bacterial small subunit ribosomal RNA", at positions 355 to 896 of the family's 1533-position model. The record is from RNAcentral.